UACGUAGGGUGCGAGCGUUAAUCGGAAUUACUGGGCGUAAAGCGUGCGCAGGCGGUUUUGUAAGCCAGAUGUGAAAUCCCCGGGCUUAACCUGGGAAUGGCAUUUGGGACUGCAAGGCUUGAGUGCGGCAGAGGAGACUGGAAUUCCUGGUGUAGCGGUGAAAUGCGCAGAUAUCAGGAGGAACACCGAUGGCGAAGGCAGGUCUCUGGGCCACUACUGACGCUGAGAAGCGAAAGCAUGGGGAGCGAACAGG
Molecule: ribosomal RNA, 253 nt
Filed under: uncultured bacterium
Lineage: Bacteria
Description: partial 16S ribosomal RNA
Rfam family: Bacterial small subunit ribosomal RNA
Source: RNAcentral